CAUAUCCCCAGAUAGCUUAGAUCUGAGUGCACAUUAUUACUGAAUGGCGCUCAGAUCACAUACAUACAGUUCAAUUGCCACGGAGCCAAAGUCUUUCACAUAGUCUUUCGUUAUACGAAUGGGCUCCAUGGCAUAGCUAUCUGGGGUAACACUGCUCACAUAGGGAAAGUACCGAAUGACCCGGCUUUCGGGUCUUUGCAGGGGAAAAUCAAGCAUUUCAACAUGGGGCCAUAGUCACAGGGCAGGAGGCUGGCAAUCAGUCUUCUCCAAUGCCCAGUGGCGAGGCUGGUUCCGCCACA
This is a non-coding RNA of Pelobates cultripes (western spadefoot toad), 299 nucleotides long. NCBI's taxonomy places the organism in Eukaryota, Metazoa, Chordata, Amphibia, Anura, Pelobatidae. The record is from the annotation of a GenBank genome assembly.